AGUGAACGCUGGCGGUAGGCCUAACACAUGCAAGUCGAACGGCAGCACAGUAAGAGCUUGCUCUUACGGGUGGCGAGUGGCGGACGGGUGAGGAAUACAUCGGAAUCUACUUUUUCGUGGGGGAUAACGUAGGGAAACUUACGCUAAUACCGCAUACGACCUACGGGUGAAAGCAGGGGAUCUUCGGACCUUUCGCGAUUGAAUGAGCCGAUGUCGGAUUAGCUAGUUGGCGGGGUAAAGGCCCACCAAGGCGACGAUCCGUAGCUGGUCUGAGAGGAUGAUCAGCCAAACUGGAACUGAGACACGGUCCAGACUCCUACGGGAGGCAGCAGUGGGGAAUAUUUGACAAUGGGCGCAAGCCUGAUCCAGCCAUACCGCGUGGGUGAAGAAGGCCUUCGGGUUGUAAAGCCCUUUUGUUGGGAAAGAAAAGCAGCAGGUUAAUACCCCGCUGUUCUGACGGUACCCAAAGAAUAAGCACCGGCUAACUUCGUG
RNAcentral lists this ribosomal RNA (492 nucleotides) under uncultured bacterium. RNAcentral describes it as "partial 16S ribosomal RNA". It matches the Rfam family "Bacterial small subunit ribosomal RNA", at positions 29 to 507 of the family's 1533-position model. The record is from RNAcentral.